Molecule: long non-coding RNA, 3005 nt
Organism: Myxocyprinus asiaticus (Chinese sucker)
Lineage: Eukaryota; Metazoa; Chordata; Actinopteri; Cypriniformes; Catostomidae
Exons: 3
Source: RefSeq, a predicted model, not a curated record
CUCAAUGGGGUGCGUGGUAAGUUGUGCGUGGAUCGCGGAGAGUAGCAUGAGCCUCCACAUGUGGAGUCUCCGCGGUGUCAUGCACGAUGAGCCAUGUGAUAAGAUGCGUGGAUUGAUGGUCUCAGAAGCGGAGGCAACUGAGAAUUGUCCUCCGCCACCCGGAUUGAGGUAACCAUGCCACCAUGAGGACCUACUAAGUAGUGGGAAUUGGGCAUUCCAAAUUGGGAGAAAAAGGGGAUAAAAAAAGAUUGAAUGGCCAGAUAUUUCCUUCUACUCAAUUCCGACCAAACAGAGGUACUAAUGAUUGGACCAAAAACCUCUCAAAAUAAGCAGCUAAAAUAUAAUUUGUCUCUCACUGGGUGUACUGUUACAUCAUCUUCUACAGAAAAGAACUUAGGUGUUAUAUUUGAUACCAGUCUGUCCUUUGAAAGUCAAAUUUCCAAUGUUUGUAGAACAGCAUUCUUCCACCUGAGAAUUAUUGCGACACAUGCUCUCUGUUGCCGAUGCCGAAUAAAACUAAUUCAUGCAAUCAUGACCUCAAGACUAGGUUAUUGUAAUGCAUUACUGGGAGGAUGUCCAGCAAGUUCAAUUAAUAAACUUCAACUGGUUCAAAAUGCAGCUGUCAGAGUGCUGACUAGAACCAAGAAAUAUGAUCAUAUUAUAGCCCCAUGUUAUCAUCAUUACAUUGACUACCUGUUAAAUUUUGUAUUAAUUUUACAGUUCUGUUAACUACAUACAAAGCUUUGAAUAGUUUAGCUCCACAGUAUUUAAGUGACCUUCUGACACACUAUAUUCUGUCAAGUUUAUUAUGAUCACUAAAUUCUGGCUUGUUAAUAAUUCCAAGAAUAUCAAAAUCCACAAAAGGAGGUGGAUCCUUUUCAUUCUUCACCCCUAAACUAUGGAAUAGUCUCUCUAACACUGUUCGGAUGCAGACACACUCACUCAGUUUAAGUCUAGACUAAAGACUCAUCUAUUUAGCCAGGCAUACACCUAAUUUAUCCUUCAACCCACAAUUAGGCUGCUAUAGUUAGGUCUGCCAGAACCAGAAACAUCCAUCAUGAUCUAUAACUCUGCAUAAAACUGAAUGGCAUCUACGAUAAUAUGAAUUUUUUUGUUUCCAUGUCUCAUCCUUGGGAUUCAUAUCCCGAGGUUACCAGAGCCAGCCAGAUCCAGCUCCGUUCCUGCUUGGUGUCGGACUCCACUGCUAUGUAUCGCUGAAAGAUGGUGACAAACUACAGCCGGUGCCAGCCAGACAUCACUUCAGUCUUUUGACUUCAGAGGAUGAACUGAUGCCAGCUGUAAGACAUGUGAUACUUCAUAUGCCACUGCUUGAACCUUGGAAUUAGGAUGGACCCCACAGAACCUCACCGAAAUGACCUGCAGGUAUCAUUCAGUGAGGAGCAUCGCAGUCCAGCUGGAUGCUUAUGGCAGAUAAUAUCUACAUAAACCUAUUUCUAGCAUACAACCGGCCUGCAUGGCACCUACCAAACUCUCAAGACUUACAAAUCCUGUCUACCUGCUCCCCUCAAAAACUUUACUCAGGAAAAUAGCUUACAAAAAUACAUACUGAUCUCAACAGAGACAAUUAACUUAAUAAAGAAAACAUGCUUUCCUGUAAGACUGAAAUGAAUGUCUGAUCCACUAAUUAUAUAUAUAUAUAUUGACUCAUGUGAAACACAUAUUUAGAUGGCAGUCUGUCAUUUGCAUGUCAGGGUCUAUUUCAAAGAAUGUGACUAUUAUUUAUAGUUAAAAAUGUUGUACCUCUUCAAGUAUCUGAAGAACUUUUUUUAAAACACAUCAAUAUGUAUUUCCUUUUUGAAUAUAUGUGGCCCUCUAACUUACAAAAUUGUACAUUUCUAUUACUGUUGUGUUUAACAUCUAAUGUGCAAUGUUUUUUAUAGCUCUGAAGCUAGUACCAAGAAAACAUUUUAAUAACUACAUUAACAGCUCAACUGGGUACAUGUUUUAUAUUUGUGUACAUGAAUACUGCACAUAGAACAAUUUUUAUUUGGGUGAAUAACAUGCCAAACACCUUGACCUUGAAACCUUGAAAUAAAUGUGUUUUCAUACCCUUUACAUUGUCUUCAGCACUUUUGGACUAGUGUCAAUUACAAACUAGAAUUAUAAACGGAUAGUUGGAUAUAACAGAUAAGACAUUCUAUGCAAUUUAGUUUAAGCUUAAUCCUGGUUGGUGCAACCAACCCUUACUCUUUGAAUGAUUUACAGUUAUGUGGCACCCUCUGGUGGACAAACAGUACUGCCUUUAAUGCCAAUGAAGGCUUUAAAUACAGUUGAGAAAUUAGGUAUUUCUUAUGUUACAGCCAUGCCAAAUUGAUGAAAUUCUGCUUGUUACCUCAAAAUAUUAUUUUGUGCAAAGUUUUGUUAAGUUUAAAAUAUUUGCUCACUAAAUAUGUCAAUUAGUCAUAAUAGGCCAAACCCAAAAACCUAUCAGCUAAUAUCUUCUGAAUGAUUUACCAUAUCAGAAUUUUUUUGGUAAAGUUUUGUCAGGAAUGUCUGUAGAUAAUGUAUACAAAGUUUCAUGCAAAUAGGGCAAACAGCCUAGGACGAGUUUGAAAAACAGGGAAGGUCCAGACAGCAGGAUGCUCAUGUAUUAUAGGACUCUGCAGGACUGUCAUGCUGCUGUUUUUUUGGAUAAAAUACAAUUAUUUUGUGGGAGAUGACUGUGUAGUAAGCUCAAUCCAGCUUUAUCAUUGUUAGUUUACAUACAUAAUAUCCGUAUCGAAAUGCUAUAACCUACAUUAAAUGUUUUAGUGUUGACUUAACAAAUGAUCCUGUUGAUAGAUUGAGUUUAUUGUUCUUGUGUAGGAAAUAACAAUGUCUUAGCAGUCACACAAUAAACUGUACUGUACAAAAAGAACUACAUGCAAUACAAAUAAACAUUUAUUUGGACAUACACUAUAAACAUUGUACACAUAAGUUCAAUGUUCUCUGUAAAGCUACUAUAAAACAGUAUGUAUUAUUAAAAGCACUGUACAAAUAAAUUU